RNAcentral lists this ribosomal RNA (468 nucleotides) under uncultured bacterium. RNAcentral describes it as "partial 16S ribosomal RNA". It matches the Rfam family "Bacterial small subunit ribosomal RNA", at positions 28 to 507 of the family's 1533-position model. The record is from RNAcentral.
GACGAACGCUGGCGGCGUGCUUAACACAUGCAAGUCGAACGGAAAGGCCCUGCUUUUGUGGGGUGCUCGAGUGGCGAACGGGUGAGUAACACGUGAGUAACCUGCCCUAGACUUUGGGAUAACUUCAGGAAACUGGGGCUAAUACCGGAUAGGAGCUCCUGCUGCAUGGUGGGGGUUGGAAAGUUUCGGCGGUUGGGGAUGGACUCGCGGCUUAUCAGCUUGUUGGUGGGGUAGUGGCUUACCAAGGCUUUGACGGGUAGCCGGCCUGGGAGGGUGACCGGCCACAUGGGGACUAAGAUACGGCGCAGACUCCUACGUGAGGCAGCAGUGGGGAGUAUUGCACAAUGGGCGGAAGCCGGAUGCAGCGACGCCGCGUGCGGGAUGACGGCCUGCGGGGUGUGAACCGCUUUCGCCUGUUACGAAGCGUGAGUGACGGUAAUGGGUAAAGAAGCACCGGCUAACUACGUG